Molecule: long non-coding RNA, 1122 nt
Filed under: Ursus thibetanus thibetanus
Lineage: Eukaryota; Metazoa; Chordata; Mammalia; Carnivora; Ursidae
Description: lncRNA (ENSUTTG00000021711.1)
Source: RNAcentral
CAGGAUUCCUGGGCGUCCCUGGAGGCUGCCUUCUGCCGCCUUUCGGAUUCAUCUGAGCGGUUGGCUUUUAUUCCCCUACCCUCACCCCGAAUCGUUCCUUGCUGGGAGGGCAGUGGGACGCUGGAAGGAAGGCGCCAGGUGGAAGGUGGCCUGGGAGGCAGAUGGCGGCGUACGGCCCAGGCACAAAGUUUUCAUCUGCUCUGCAAACGCGGUGCUGUGCCGUCGGCCUCUGUAUUUCUGAAUCCAAUUAACAUAAAAUACUCUGGGGCGGGAGCCGGCUGCGUUCGGGAUAAUCGCGCAGAGCGAACCGGGCUUUACAAAAUUAAAGGACUUUUUGGUCCCGGGGCUUGCUCCGGGAAGGGGGGCGGCGAGCCACGCAGCCCGGGGCGGGGCGGCGGGCGGAGGCGGCCCCCGGCGCCCGCCGUCUCCCGGGGUUGCCACAACAGACCCCGCGCGCCGCGCCCGAGUCGCCGCCGGGGCCCGAGCGGCCGGGGCAGGUGCGGAGGGGCGCGGACCUCCGGGUGGGAGACGUCCGGGGCGGGCCGCGCACGCGGGUCCUGGGCCGCGCGCGCCCUUCGGCGGCGAGACGACCCCUCCCCCACCCUCUCCGGCCCCAGCCGCCCGCGCAGGGGCCGAGGGGAGGGACCGCCGAGCGCCCCCGCGAGGAGCCCCCAGCCCGGGCUGCAGCGCCGGGCGGGGCCGCGGCGCCCCCCACCCACCCCCCGACACCUGAGCGGCCGAGGCUCCAGCGACUCCGGCGCUCGGGCCGGACUGGGCGCGGCGCCGCUCGGGUCCCCGCGGCCGAACCAGGUGCGCGCGGACGUCGGCCCUCCCCGGGGGCUCUCACCCCGCCCGACUCCCGAGCGGCUGCCAGAGCAAGCUUUCGAAGUCCCUCCAGUCUCUGUGCCUUGGCCCACCGGAAUACUGACAGCGCCUGUUCCAAGAAGUUUUUCUGCAGGACCCCGUCUGCCAACAGCUCUGGUGAGUUCAAGCAUUUCCUCCUUGUCCUUUUCACCUGUAAGCUGGUCACCCCUGUUAUGCUGUGGUCUGCCUCUCACCCCUUCUGCACUGUGGCCAGAGGAUUGUCAUUUCCUUGAGAUUGGGCCCCUGGUUUUGUGUUAG